Long non-coding RNA from Osmia bicornis bicornis, 776 nucleotides. RefSeq lists it as uncharacterized. The transcript is spliced from 2 exons. Lineage: Eukaryota; Metazoa; Arthropoda; Insecta; Hymenoptera; Megachilidae. The record is from RefSeq and is a predicted model, not a curated record.
ACUACAGCCACUACCAUCGUCCGCAUCGGAGUCGCCACCACCGUCGGAGUGCCUCUCCACCUUCUCCUUAGCUGCCGUCAGACUUCCUCCUCUCUCUCUCUUCCUUUCCUCUCACCACCGGCCAAAAGACAACUCCUAACCUCUCUUCUCGUUUCACCUCCUCCAACUUCUCCUCCUUCUUCACUCCGUUUCUCUACUUUACUCCUCUAGCCAGGUAGACCGGCUAGCUAUCUCUACGCUCCGACUCUCUCCCGGACCCCUUUCACGCUACGUGGAACAUUUCAGUGUGUGCGCAUGCCACGCACGAUCCCCCUCGGCUCUCUACACCUGAGGGUUGCGUACGGUGCAUCUGGACUUGGAAAAAACAUGUGUUCCAGGAGUGUCUGGCCGUGACAGAGGCUGGGAUACGCCGCGUUGCUCCACAACCGCGAAUCUUCGUCUCACGGAAUUGGAGCGCUCGAUCGAGCGUGGGUGUCUUCGAGUGAAAUACAAGUUGCACUUAUCGUACACACAGACUUAUCAUUCUGCCAGAUUUUCGAGGACGAAGCUAUGACCUUCCUUAAGUUUCGACGCACAGCUGCAUAUGUAGAUAUAGAUUCGAGGGAAAUUCCGGAAGAGAUAUCUUAUCGAGUACCGUACGUUUGUAAACUGAAAUGUUACCACGGAUUCCGUGAACCGAAAGAACGUACCUAGAAUUCAAUUUCCCUGCAGAUUGAUUAAAUGUCUCUGUCGAUGUGUUAAAUUUAUUCGCUCAAUAAAGACACUUUAUAAACGGA